GACGAACGCUGGCGGCGUGCUUAACACAUGCAAGUCGAACGGAAAGGCCCUGCUUUUGUGGGGUGCUCGAGUGGCGAACGGGUGAGUAACACGUGAGUAACCUGCCCUUGACUUUGGGAUAACUUCAGGAAACUGGGGCUAAUACCGGAUAGGUGCUCCUGCUGCAUGGUGGGGGUUGGAAAGUUUCGGCGGUUGGGGAUGGACUCGCGGCUUAUCAGCUUGUUGGUGGGGUAGUGGCUUACCAAGGCCUUGACGGGUAGCCGGCCUGAGAGGGUGACCGGCCACAUUGGGACUGAGAUACGGCCCAGACUCCUACGGGAGGCAGCAGUGGGGAAUAGUGCACAAUGGGCGGAAGCCUGAUGCAGCAACGCCGCGUGCGGGAUGACGGCCUUCGGGUUGUAAACCGCUUUCGCCUGUGACGAAGCGUGAGUGACGGUAAUGGGUAAAGAAGCACCGGCUAACUACGUG
RNAcentral lists this ribosomal RNA (468 nucleotides) under uncultured bacterium. Its description in RNAcentral is "partial 16S ribosomal RNA". It matches the Rfam family "Bacterial small subunit ribosomal RNA", at positions 28 to 507 of the family's 1533-position model. The record is from RNAcentral.